RNAcentral lists this ribosomal RNA (653 nucleotides) under uncultured euryarchaeote. RNAcentral's name for it is "bacterial SSU rRNA". It matches the Rfam family "Archaeal small subunit ribosomal RNA", at positions 76 to 727 of the family's 1478-position model. The record is from RNAcentral. Lineage: Archaea; Methanobacteriati; Methanobacteriota.
CCGUAGCGAACAGCUCAGUAACACGUGGCCAAGCUACCCUAUGGACGUGGACACCCUCGGGAAACUGAGGCUAAUCCGCGAUACGGCUCCCACGCUUGAAUGCGGGGAGCCGGAAACGCUCCGGCGCCAUAGGAUGCGGCUGCGGCCGAUUAGGUAGACGGUGGGGUAACGGCCCACCGUGCCGAUAAUCGGUACGGGAUGUGAGAGCAAAUAGCCCGGAGAUGGAAUCUGAGACAAGAUACCGGGCCCUACGGGGCGCAGCAGGCGCGAAACCUUUACACUGCACGACAGUGCGAUAGGGGGACCCCGAGUGCGAGGGCAUACAGUCCUCGCUUUUCUGUACCGUAAGGAGGUACAGGAAUAAGUGCUGGGCAAGACCGGUGCCAGCCGCCGCGGUAAUACCGGCAGCACGAGUGAUGGCCGAUCUUAUUGGGCCUAAAGCGUCCGUAGCCAGCCAGACAGGUCCGUCGGGAAAUCUGCACGCCCAACGUGCAGGCGUCCGGCGGAAACCAGCUGGCUUGGGGCCGGAAGAUCCAGGGGGUACGUCCGGGGUAGGAGUGAAAUCCCGUAAUCCCGGACGGACCACCGGUGGCGAAAGCGCCCUGGAAGGACGGACCCGACGGUGAGGGACGAAAGCUAGGGUCACGAACCGG